UAGUGACUGCCAGGGAGCCAUCCCA
Molecule: unclassified non-coding RNA, 25 nt
Filed under: Mus musculus (house mouse)
Lineage: Eukaryota; Metazoa; Chordata; Mammalia; Rodentia; Muridae
Description: oocyte_clustered_small_RNA14178
Source: RNAcentral